CGAAAUUGAUAGUUGAACCGCCCUUUCUGAUCUGAUUCAGGUUUCAAGGUUUAGAGAGGGGAUUGAAACCGUUAAUCCAAACGGAUUCCAGAUCUAAUCCAAAUUGGUCCCAAUCCAGUUGAGGGCUGAACCGGCCGUGGCAUGGACUCAUGGUGAUGCAGCAAAGCUUGACCCAUCGUGAUAUUUUACGCGUGGCUAUAACGGCGUUUUUCAUAAACAAACAAGUAACGGCAAAUUAGUCAAGUCUCGGUUAGACUUCACAUCAUUUCGUAACUAUUCAUUGGUUCACAAUCGCGCGAAACAUGCGCUUUUAAAAAUGGCUAUGGCUGGAUUGUACCGUCGACUCCUCCCUUCACCUCCUGCUACCAAUUUCGCUUCCUCUGAAGGAAAGGACCUUGGAGGUGGUUUGAAGAAUCCAUGUUAGGUUUGCUGUGAACAAUUAGAAAAGGUUAAAGCUAAGGGCAUCUCAUUUGGGAAGCUUGUAUGUUUGGCUCACUGUACUGGGGCAAAAGUUGAAGCUUAACGUGCAAAUCAGAGCAACAUUGAUGAAUUUUAUAGGGACUGGUCAUUUUUCACCGAUUGGUGGACUGGUCAUUUUUCACCCAUUGGUGGUUAUCAUGCUGGAAGGGACAUGGCAUUGAUUUUGGAUGUUGCACGCUUCAAGUAUCCUCCACAUUGGGUUCCACUAACACUUCUGUGGGAAGCUAUGAAUAAUAUUGAUGAGACAACUGGGAAAAACAAAGGGUUCAUUUUUAAAUUGAGGUCUCAUCCAGAAUCUGGACUGCUUUAUAGCUUGAAGUGCGGAGAAUCAAGGAUGGUGGGGGAAAGUCUAAGCCAAGAGGAGAAAUUAAAGAUUGUUGUUAAGGAAGGGGUUUUAAAACAGGUGCAGGAAACUGGACUUUUUAAAAAUGUUGCAGGAUUUUUGUCUUCGGCAAACUCAUGUUGCAAAAGUGUGCCAAUCUUAAGUCUAGAAGAUGACCUUCCUCGUAUUGCUGCAGGUAUCUGUGCCAAGGGGCAGAGAUUUUGGCAGGAAAGUUCAGUUCUUCAGGACUUUAUUGUAGGGAAACUUGUGUGAGGUGUUUGAAGACCACUGAUGACAAGCCUGUUAGUACAGUUUUAGACGGUGGAAGUAAGCAGAGGCUGACGUGCUGUUCCUUCUCAAAUGUAAACUGAGUUUCUGUAGCUGUGGCCCAAGUAAUUGCAUUGGGAUUUAUCCAGCUAGAAAUGAUGUUCUUACAGCACUUCUACUGGUUUGCCUCCUGAAGCAUGGUCAGGUAUCAAAGUGGGGAAACUUUGCAAGAAAUAUACACUCUUGUUUCAACCCAGAAUCUUCCAGUUUUACUUCAAGAGCAAGUGUUGCAUCUAGACGUCAAUUCUAGCUUCUUAAGAGAUGCCAAGAGAAUAAGGUGGAUGGGGAUCUCGGUGCACCUCUUUCCUGGUACGCAAGUAAUUUCCAUGUAAAUUCACUAUUUUUGUAAGCCAAGAGUUGCAUUAUUUGUGGAUAUGAGAAUCGUAUAAUUGAUGCAAAUACAAGAGAUUUGUACAGCUUUUUCUAGGUUAUAAGCCACAAAGCAAACCAAAUAUACCUUUAACAAAACUGAAAUAUAUUUGUGAAGAUGCCCGAUUUAUCUCCAAGUGACCAAAACCACAUGAUAAAGAAGAAGUGUUCUACCAAGAAUAAUGUAGCACUUUUAGGAAAGAUUUGAGGAUGAUCUUCAAGAAACUCGAAUAUUGUUGAAAAGUAAA
Hevea brasiliensis (rubber tree) is the source of this 1746-nucleotide RNA transcript. It is a transcript of the gene named glutathione gamma-glutamylcysteinyltransferase 1-like, with no coding region annotated. The transcript has 7 exons. Lineage: Eukaryota; Viridiplantae; Streptophyta; Magnoliopsida; Malpighiales; Euphorbiaceae. The record is from RefSeq and is a predicted model, not a curated record.